Non-coding RNA from Salmo salar (Atlantic salmon), 54 nucleotides. The record is from Rfam. NCBI's taxonomy places the organism in Eukaryota, Metazoa, Chordata, Actinopteri, Salmoniformes, Salmonidae.
UGCACUCACUACUGUAAGUCGCUCUGGAUAAGAGCGUCUGCUAAAUUACUUAAA